RNAcentral lists this long non-coding RNA (520 nucleotides) under Zostera marina. RNAcentral describes it as "long non-coding RNA (ZMAR_LNC005053)". The record is from RNAcentral. Lineage: Eukaryota; Viridiplantae; Streptophyta; Magnoliopsida; Alismatales; Zosteraceae.
AUUAAACUGAUCUCUAAUCUAUUCUCUAACUCAAAUCUCGAACCCUAACUAAAAUUAGAAGACAGAAGAUUCUUGAGGCUGAUCCUGUUCAAGACCCAUCUCUUUAUAUGAUGAUAGAAAAAUAAAAAAAAGUCAUUCAUUGCAUUAUUUGCUGAGAAUAUUGCCAAAAUAGCCUUCUUGAACUCUGUCCUUUCUUCAUAGAGAAAGAGGUAGAAAUUGAAUCCAACAUUAAGAUAAUACCAAGUGCAGACAAACCCCCUUCUUUGGAAAAUUUGAAUCAAGUCGAUGGAAAAUUAAACGAAUCCUACAAGACAAAUGAAUGAAUCAUGAAUGAUGGCGUCCGCAUAGCACGUGUGACUGUUAAUUUGGCUCAUAUAUAUAUAUAAGACGUAUUUUUUCUGCGGUUGAUCCCCCAUGCGGAUGAUUGCUGACGUUCCAUCCGACCGUCCCCUCCUCUAUUCGAUUCCUGACCAUUCCGUCGGUGAGGUCCUUAAUGAUGACCGUCGGAUUGAUAGUUCAG